CCUACGGGUGGCUGCAGUGGGGAAUAUUGGACAAUGGGCGAAAGCCUGAUCCAGCCAUGCCGCGUGUGUGAAGAAGGCCUUCGGGUUGUAAAGCACUUUCAGUGGGGAAGAAAGCCUUGGGGCUAAUACCCUCGAGGAAGGACAUCACCCACAGAAGAAGCACCGGCUAACUCCGUGCCAGCAGCCGCGGUAAUACGGAGGGUGCGAGCGUUAAUCGGAAUUACUGGGCGUAAAGCGCGCGUAGGCGGUCUGAUAAGCCGGUUGUGAAAGCCCCGGGCUCAACCUGGGAACGGCAUCCGGAACUGUCAGGCUAGGGUGCAGGAGAGGAAGGUAGAAUUCCCGGUGUAGCGGUGAAAUGCGUAGAGAUCGGGAGGAAUACCAGUGGCGAAGGCGGCCUUCUGGACUGACACUGACGCUGAGGUGCGAAAGCGUGGGUAGCAAUCAGGAUUAGAUACCCCAGUAGUC
This 465-nucleotide ribosomal RNA is filed under the name Vreelandella stevensii. RNAcentral's name for it is "partial 16S ribosomal RNA". It matches the Rfam family "Bacterial small subunit ribosomal RNA", at positions 338 to 795 of the family's 1533-position model. Lineage: Bacteria; Pseudomonadati; Pseudomonadota; Gammaproteobacteria; Oceanospirillales; Halomonadaceae. The record is from RNAcentral.